GGAGCCUGUUGCAUCAAGGCCUGGGGUGGCAGGUGCUUUCCCAGGGGCUGUCUGCUAUGUGCCUGUGCCAGCCCCUUGUCCUGCUGGGCUCUGCCCAGGGAGCAGGGCAGCCCAGGUCUCCCAAAACUCUGCCCUGCAGGCUUCACACAUACCCAGCCGCCAUGUCUGCAUUCCACAUUAUUAGCAGGAUUGUGCUCAGGACUGCGGGAGGCAGCGGUUCUUGUCCAAGAGGGUGUUAUGGAUUUGCGGCAGGGGACCUGUGGCAGUUGGUACUUGAUGAUGAUUACUGCAUCCAAAGAUGCACAAAUGGUAGCUGCCUAUUCCCAGAGUUGGGUGUCACCCCGAGCAGCCCAUCUGCUUUGAUGAUGCUUUAAGGACAACACCGUCAAACCCAUACUGGUCCCCAUGAGAUGCAGCUGUCCUGCAAGAAGUAUCCUCAGACAGUGUGGCAAAGCUCACACAGACUCUCCCAGGAUGAGAGAGGAGUGAUGUCACCAUGAAUAUCCCUGUUGUUGCUUAGACUGACAAUCUCUCUCCCUUGCUCAUAAUUUCUUUUAAAAUUUAAGUACUGGCUGAAUACCCUUGAUAAUUUUAGUAUCCAGGUUAGAAGCCCCAUGACAUUCUGCAGGGAAUGAAGGGGCAAAAAGAGAUGCUCCAACCGACUUU
This 666-nucleotide long non-coding RNA is filed under the name Cyanistes caeruleus (blue tit). RNAcentral's name for it is "lncRNA (ENSCCEG00000019487.1)". The record is from RNAcentral. Lineage: Eukaryota; Metazoa; Chordata; Aves; Passeriformes; Paridae.